Long non-coding RNA from Boleophthalmus pectinirostris (great blue-spotted mudskipper), 213 nucleotides. RefSeq lists it as uncharacterized. The record is from RefSeq and is a predicted model, not a curated record. The transcript is spliced from 3 exons. Lineage: Eukaryota; Metazoa; Chordata; Actinopteri; Gobiiformes; Gobiidae.
GAGGAUAUAUGUAGCCCUGCAACAUGCACUCAAAGAUCAUUGGCGAAGGCUUUUAAAAAUAAGCAGCACAUAAGAAUUUGGAAAUAUUUUCCUUCCAGUUUACAGAAACAAUGGGUAGUGGAAGACUCAUAACACUAUUAUUAACUGUAAUAGGACUGACAACAGCUGCGGUCACCACAACAGCUCCCCCAACCACCACCACAACAGCUGCCC